Ursus americanus (American black bear) is the source of this 298-nucleotide unclassified non-coding RNA. Its record names the gene 7SK. It matches the Rfam family "7SK RNA". Rfam says of the family: 7SK was discovered as an abundant small nuclear RNA in the mid-70s but a possible function has only recently been suggested. Two independent studies have found that 7SK RNA binds the CDK9/cyclin T complex (known as elongation factor P-TEFb). P-TEFb activates transcription by phosphorylating the C-terminal domain of RNA polymerase II. The record is from Ensembl. NCBI's taxonomy places the organism in Eukaryota, Metazoa, Chordata, Mammalia, Carnivora, Ursidae.
GGAUGUGAGGGCUAUCUGGCUGCAACGUCUGUCAACCCGUUGAUCGCCAGGGUUGAUUCGGCUGAUCUGGCUGGCUAGGCGGGUGUCCCCUUCCUCCCUCACCACUCCAUGUGUGUCCCUCCCGAAGCUGCAUGCUUGGUCGAAGAGGACGACCUUCCCCGAUAGAGGAGGACCGUUCUUCGGUCAAGGGUAUACCAGUAGUUGCGCUUCCCUGCUAGAACCUCCAAACAAGCUCUCAAGAAUGGCUAGGAAUUUAACGAUGAGGUCAAGUUCUACUGUAAUGAUGGGAAACAUUUAU